RNAcentral lists this ribosomal RNA (429 nucleotides) under Acidobacteriota bacterium. Its description in RNAcentral is "Acidobacteria bacterium partial 16S ribosomal RNA". It matches the Rfam family "Bacterial small subunit ribosomal RNA", at positions 355 to 776 of the family's 1533-position model. Lineage: Bacteria; Pseudomonadati; Acidobacteriota. The record is from RNAcentral.
UGGGGAAUUUUGGACAAUGGGGGAAACCCUGAUCCAGCCAUCCCGCGUGUGCGAUGAAGGCCUUCGGGUUGUAAAGCACUUUUGGCAGGAAAGAAACGUCAUGGGUUAAUACCCCGUGAAACUGACGGUACCUUCAGAAUAAGCACCGGCUAACUACGUGCCAGCAGCCGCGGUAAUACGUAGGGUGCAAGCGUUAAUCGGAAUUACUGGGCGUAAAGCGUGCGCAGGCGGUUCGGAAAGAAAGAUGUGAAAUCCCAGGGCUCAACUUUGGAACUGCAUUUUUAACUACCGGGCUAGAGUGUGUCAGAGGGAGGUGGAAUUCCGCGUGUAGCAGUGAAAAGCGUAGAUAUGCGGAGGAACACAGAUGGCGAAGGCAGCCUAAUGGGAUAACACUGACGCUCAUGCACGAAAGCGUGGGGAGCAAACAGG